Molecule: long non-coding RNA, 1190 nt
Organism: Quercus robur (English oak)
Lineage: Eukaryota; Viridiplantae; Streptophyta; Magnoliopsida; Fagales; Fagaceae
Exons: 3
Source: RefSeq, a predicted model, not a curated record
CCGACUACAACCGUACAUCUCCAAAUUUUUAUCUGCCACUUUUCUUAUGCAACUGAAAACUAUCUGCAGUAAGGCUGUAACGUGACUGCAAGGAAAAAAUGUUCUUGGAUUUUAUUGAGAGCAAGAAUGGACCAAGGGAGGCGAAGAAUCAAAGCAGAACACAAAAGGCUUUAAUGAUGACAGUGAUGAAGUGACAUGUGGGUGGCUAGAAUUCCUGAUUCGUGGUGACAGAGGUAGUGGUAUGGACAUGUUGCAAUCCUCUGAACCAAGAAUGAAAACCUUGCAAGAGAAUUCAAUCCUUUCCUUCAAUGCAGCCUUUAAAGUAUCUCACGAGUCUUUGUUUUGGGGCAGCAAAUCACUGGUUGUGGAGAUAAGCAAAAGUAGUUUGCAGAGAAGUGUCUCUGUUUUUUAGUAUGGUAGGGCCUUUUUUUUUUCCGCCGAUUUGUUAUAGGGAUGAAUUUCGAUAGGUACAUUUUGUGAAUUUCUAUAAUUUUUUUUUUCACUUUCACGUUGUUAUUGGUUCUUUAGAUUACUGCAUGCUAUUGUGAUUGAUGAAACCCACAAGUUGUUCGAUAAAAUGUCCCACUGGGGGUGACAAGUGGUGGCAGUAGAGGAAGCUUGCGAGCUUUGAGUUCUCCACAAGAGUGCUUAGAGAUUAUAGCCAUGCAGUGUUUAGAAGAAACGCUACUAAGCUGGUUAGAGUUGUUCACAAGUCAUCAAAUGAUCGUCAAGCUUUUGAUAUGCAAGACAUACUAAUGAGAUGAACUUUGGAUUCAAUUUUCAAAGUUGGGUUUGGGGUAGAAUUGAAUUGCUUGGAGGGGUCAAGCAAGGAGGGAACUGCAUUCAUGAAGGCAUUUGAUGAAUCAAAUGCCUUGGUUUAUUGGCACUAUGUCGAUCCAUUCUAGAAGUUGAAAAGGUUUCUUAACAUUGGCUCCAAAGAUGCCCUUAAGAAGAAAAUCAAAAUCCUUGAUGAUUUUAUGCCUGGAGUAAUUAGGACCAAGAGGGAACUGCUAGAAGUGAAACAAGAUUGUGUAAGUUUUAAAUUUGUGACAAACUGACAAUGUCUAUUUAGGGAAACUCGAUAUGUAUUUGACUAUUUGUAACUUCCAAUGUUAUCUAUCUUUUAAAGGACUUAGGUACAAUGAGAUGCACCACUUGCUUUGAUAAUCUGGACUAAUGGUUUAGUUGAA